Molecule: ribosomal RNA, 435 nt
Filed under: uncultured bacterium
Lineage: Bacteria
Description: bacterial SSU rRNA
Rfam family: Bacterial small subunit ribosomal RNA
Source: RNAcentral
CUACAGAACGACGCUGGCGGCAGGCCUAACACAUGCAAGUCGAGCGCCCCGCAAGGGGAGCGGCGGACGGGUGAGUAACACGUGGGAAUUUUCCUCAAGGUACGGAACAACUCAGGGAAACUUGGGCUAAUACCGUAUGAUGCAGAGAUGCCAAAGAUUUAUCGCCUUGGGAUAAGCCCGCGUCAGAUUAGGUAGUUGGUGGGGUAAUGGCCUACCAAGCCUGUGAUCUGUAGCUGGUCUGAGAGGACGAUCAGCCACAUUGGGACUGAGACACGGCCCAGACUCCUACGGGAGGCAGCAGUGGGGAAUCUUGCGCAAUGGGGGCAACCCUGACGCAGCCAUGCCGCGUGAACGAUGAAGGCCUUAGGGUUGUAAAGUUCUUUUACCCGUGACGAUGAUGACGGUAACGGGGAAUAAGCUCCGGCUAACUUCGUG